This 65-nucleotide transfer RNA is filed under the name Neuroctenus yunnanensis. RNAcentral describes it as "tRNA-Leu". The record is from RNAcentral. Lineage: Eukaryota; Metazoa; Arthropoda; Insecta; Hemiptera; Aradidae.
UCUAAUGUGGCAGAAUAGUGCAAUGAACUUAAGAUUCAUACAUAAAGAAAUAUCUUUUAUUAGAA